Non-coding RNA from Callithrix jacchus (white-tufted-ear marmoset), 25333 nucleotides. NCBI's taxonomy places the organism in Eukaryota, Metazoa, Chordata, Mammalia, Primates, Cebidae. The record is from RefSeq and is a predicted model, not a curated record.
UAUAACUAGUAUGACAUAUUUCAUGUAUAACCUGUUAUGGUUAUAUUACUAGUUAGAUGAAUCCCUUUAUUUUCAAAAUCAUGAAAACUGAUUCCCUCCCCCCUUCCCUCUCUCCCCACUUCCUUCCUUUGGUAACAGUGCAGAGCUACAUCGGAUUAUGAUUUUUAAACUUGUACUUACAAUUAUUUUAAGGCAUGAUGGGCAGGGACUAAGGAUGAGGCUAAAAUCUCCAUCUUUUAUACUUUUACUCAGCCCAGGGACAAUGGGCAUCUAUGGGUGGGGGCACAGUAUUGAGUUGGCAGCUGGACAGUGGGUCUAGAAGGAGACCCGGGAGAUUGGCAGAUGGUUAAUUGGAUGUGACAAAAGAGGGCUAGGAGGAGGGGUCUCGGCUCCUAGGGGAUUCCUGUCUCUGACUGCUUACUGUCCUGAAAGGAGGUGGUGGGGAAAGAGAGGAGUGGCUCCAGGAACAGUUGGGGAAAAGAUUGGCAGGACUCCAUGUCAGGGUGUGGCAGUGGAAGGACAGCACGCCAUAGGGAGUAAUGUCACAGCUUUAAGUCAGAGGGAAGGUGUAAGAUUUUAAGUCUCUUCGGUGUACACCAAUGCUUUGGCACAUACAUACUCAGAGACUUGGAUGUAAAGAGAUGCUUAACCAAAGAUUUUAACAGUACGAUUUUCAUGAUCCCAACCAGAGUUUUGACAGCUAAGUAUCAUUCCUCUUGAUGGGAAUUGGACAAAUAACUAAUCAAUUUUUAGCAGAGUACUGGAUUUUGGGAAGCAGAUCUCUUCAUUUAUUUUUACACUAAUUUAUUGAGGUAUCAAACACUAGCUGUGCACCUACUAAGCACCAGAUGCUGGAGGUACACAGACAAGUCAGAAAUAAUCUUUCCCACAAAGAGAUUAACAGCCUAAUGGGGGAGGGGGGUUGCCUGAUACAUAAACGUGAUUGCAGUGUAGUAUGAUAAGUGCAGUAAAGAGGAAUGCACACUAAUAUACAGAGGAAGGAUCAACAACCUCACCCGGAUGGACAUGGGGAAGAUUCAUUGAAGAAGGAGGGCUUGGGUUGAAAUAAAUGAAAAGGUGGUGCAAACAAGAAUAGGAGCAUAGACCACUAUUCAAGAAGCUUGGUAAUAAAAGUAAGGAGAAAAAUAAGAUGGUAAUAAAAAGGACAUUUUGGGGAUACUGAUCUUGUUCUGCUUCUAGACCACAGGUGUGUUCCUUUUGUGAAAUCUUAAUGAGCUGUAAACUUAUGUGCAAUUUUAUGCAUGUGUAUUAUUCUUCAUUCAAAAAUUUUAAAAGGUUAUCAGGUCCAGUGAAAUUUUUUUUUCUUUCAAAUAGAGAAAAACCUUUGAAUGUUUGAAAAAGUCAUAGGAAGAGACAAUGGUAGAGACUUAAAAUGUUAGAAGGUGGUAUAUGUGUGAGUGGGGUACCAGGGUGGCUACUAGCUUCCUGAAAAGUCAGAAAAGGAUGAGAUUCCUGGGCAAAAAGGUUAUCUCUGGGAUGGAUAAUCACCUUUUCUUCUGUGGCUAUGUGGAAAAACCAGGUGUUUUUCAGGUCGGUUGCUAGAGCUCUUAUUAAGCUGACCUCAGUCAUCUUCCUGAAUGGGAGCCAUGGUCAUCUGCAAGCACUGGGAGAUGCUGGGAGCCUGGGACGAGAGGAGAUGGACUGAAUCCAUUCUCUGGAGAAUGAGUGGAAAUUGCAUAAAAAAAAGAUCAGUUCAGUUAAUUUCAGACUGGGCUGAGUAUGCCUGGUUCCAACUCUUGCUCAGCCCUGGAGGCUCUGGAGUGGGGCUAAAAACUGUUUUUGGCUGGUGAUUUGGACGAUAUGUUGGGUGAGGAUGAGGUGUGCAUUUGACUUGUUUGAAUACCAUUCUCUUCCCCAAACCUAUGGAACAUCAAUGGCUUUAAGGCCUUUUGGAGGCCCUACUUUGGAAAACGUUUAUGUCUGGUUUCUCCAAGUAGGUUGUACACACCCUUUGCUUUGGACUUGUCUGUAUUUUGUCAAUGCCCAGGUUAGUGCCUUGCAGAUAAUACUUGUUCCAUUAGUAUUUGUUGGCCUGAUUUUUUUUUCAAAAAAGCUACUUAUUGGUAUUAAGCUAUUUGGGAGUAUUAUAAUGAAACACUGUGAUAAAGAAAUGUAUCUUUUUUUUCGUGGACAGGCAAUUCUGCUUUAAACAAAAGAUCUGUCAAGUCAACACGGACUGUAAAAUAGGCUAUUUGUUGUGUGGAUUACUUAGAGGUGACUUCUUUUAUCACUUGCUUAUAAAUAUUCACAUAUUUUAUAGGCACUAGAAAAAUAAAGAUUCGCUCUUCUUUUUGAAAGACUCAGGAAAGUCCAAUCAUGCAAAUGGAUCAACUAAUCAAUAUUUAGUGAAUGUCUGUCAUGUGCCUAGUAUUAUGCAGGUACUAAGGGGGCUACUGAAAAUGGCUAUCACAUGAUUCUUGUCCCUGAAAAGUUUGUGAUCUUGUUGGAUUAGGAAAAUGAUAGCUAAUUGGAGAACAAUCAAAAAGGGAGUUUUUGUCAUUCAUUGAUUCAUUUAAUGUAUAUUUAUUGUCUAUAAGCCCUAAGAGAUCAUUUAAUUUAAGUAAGUGGUAAAACAAGAUUUUAUUUGGAAAGACUCAAUUUUAGGUAUACCUUCAUGGAACAGUUUUUAUAUUGAAGUUUUUAAAAAUAUAAAGCCUUAUUAUAAUUCUGGCUAACUGUAGGGCAUUUAAAAAAUAUGAUGAAAUAUAGAGGAUAGAAAAGCCACUGUAAUUCUAUCACCCAGAGAGAACACCUGUUUGCUGAUAUGCAGUAUUUCCUUCUGGUCCAUUUUCCUAUGUGGAUUCUCUCCCUUGAUCCAUGGUUUGUUUUUUGAUUAUUGAAUUAUGAUGAAAAACAAAUGGAGGGGGUAGAAUUUGUCCAAAAUGCGGACAUUUUUUCCAGCUAACUUAAAUAUAUGAUACAUUCCUUCACAUAUAUCUAUUGAACAAAAUAAGACAUUUAUAAGCUGAUUGACAUUUACAUGGUGGUAACAUAGGAAGACAGAGGAUCCAUUCAUUGUUUGGGGAGUAAAGGUAUUGACACUAUUGUAAAAAAUAUUUACGCAAACAAAAGUACAAGAUAUAUGGUCAAAGUGAAUAUUCUUUCUCCCUCUUCCUCCCCUAUGUUUAGAUAAAUUCAACAGAUACAUGCAUGUACCUGUUGCAUAUGCAUCUUUAUACAAAUGCAUAGCUUUUAUUUCAUUUAAUAAAAAGAAGAUCAUGCUCUACCUGUUAUUCUAUAACUUGUUUUUAUCAUUUUAUAAUCAGGGACAUUUUUCUUUGUCAUUACCUACAGCUUUACCUCAUUUGUUUUAACAGUUGUGUUACAUUCUAUUGUGAGGAUGUGUUAUUUUGUUAAACCAUUCUCCUAAUGAUAGACAUUUAUAACCCAGAUUUUCUGUGGACUGGUGUUUGUUCUGGGACAUUAUUUGGUCCAAAGAGUAGCAAGAAAGGCCAUUCAUUUUUUUGAUCUUAUUCAAAGGUGACUGUAGGACAACUGUAGGUUUGGGCUGUUUUCUCUGCCUUUAUCCUCAGGAGAGGAAGAACAAUCAGUCCCUGUUCUCUGAAGGAUAAUUUUUUGUGUAAUGUUUAAGGACACUUUUGUUAGUGACAUUUAAAUAAAUGGUAGAGACCAUUCUUGACCUCUUUUUCAGUGUGCCUUAGGAGCCAGAUUUGCAGUCUCAAUUAGCCUAAAAAGCCACAUGUGUUCUUAGGCUUGAAUGUAAGUUAAUUCCAAUACCACAGUUAGCUAUGGCAGCACUUUAGAUUGUGUGUGCAAAAGCUAUAGCCUGUUCUUGGCUAGGAGACUCCAAGAAUGUCAUUCGGGAGACCUUGGUUUCUAAUUCUACCCACCACUAAAUAGCUCUGUGACUUGGCCAAACCCAGUAAUAUGCCUCUUUUUACAGUGGGAUCUCUCUUUCCUCAUUCAAAGAAAGCGGUAAACAUACUCGCCAUGCCAUACCUCAUAGGAAUAGUAUGAGAUAAAGUGAGAUGAUAGAAAGAAAAUGCUUUGGAAAGACAAAAUUGCUGACUAAAUGAAAAGGGAUUGUGUCAGCUGCUUCUCUGGGGUCUCCUUUAGUUUUGAGUGUGGUUGAAAGCUGAGCUAGGGGACUCAGAUGGGAGUGACAGCCCAUACUGCACUUUAGGACUAUACAUUUUUUCAUGUCUGUAAAGAAAUUGGCAGCACUAGAGAUGGAGUGAAACUUUUCACGACAUGUUCCAUUUGCUUUUGGAAAAGAGAUGUUUGCAUGAGAAUGGAAGAGUAGCUCAUCUAACUGCCCAGAAUGGCUGAAGUUUCCUUCUGGUGGGUAACAGUGUAGUUCAGUUGCACACUUACUUCUUGUUACCCAGAUGUGCAAAGAAAUUGUAGCUUUUCAAAUUUUCUAAAGUGGAGCCAGUCUUUCUGAUAAGCCCCCACCCCCAUUUUGCUAGUUUAUAUUAUUAUUUUUUUCUGGAUUAUUCUCUUUUGGAUGACUGUUUCUUUUAGGUAAAUUGCUCAGUUGCUCAGAUUUUUCUCAUGUUCCUUCACUUCUCUUCAGAGUGGGGUCUGGGUGCAUAGAGGUGUUUACAUGAACAUGUGUUGGUAGUGAUAGGAGCAAAAGAAGAAGGGUGCUUGGAGCCAAGGCAAGAUAGCUAGAUUCCCCUGGUCUUUGCUUCACAGGGGGCAGGGCUGGUCUGUCGACCUCUCUUGUUUUUUUGGAAUAUUGUGCUAAUACCCAGCACUAAAAUUUAUGUCCUACUUUCUGCCUAUGGGGUCAAAGGCCCUACCUAUAGCAGCCUCUUAGUCCUGACUCCAGGCCUUUCCCUAGUCACUGACUGAGUACCACCAUCAGGAAAUGAAGAAGUAUAUGGAUCCCAGCUUGCUACGGGUCAACUGUGAGAAGAUAGAACCUCUGCACUUGGCUCCCUAACUACACACUCACCUUGGCCAGAGCUGUGUUUUCGUCUGCUCAUCACCAUCUUCUCCCCUGCACAUCACAAUUGGUGAAAAGGUAGGCAUUUUUCUAGAGGCCUGCAACACCUCAGGAGUCCCUUAGGGUUCUCAGGUACCAUCACAACUAUUAGGAUAUUUCUAAAACUGUUCCCCAAGCUCUGAUUGAGCCUUGAAGUGGGAGUAUAUAUAGUGGAGCCUGAGACCCGGGUAUCUGAUCUAGACUGAAUUUUUCCCAUGUUCCCCAGAUGCCUGAGGAAAAGGGUUUUCCCUCUAUCCUUAUGGCAGGGAUCUCUCCUAUGUCAUAUCUUCAGUACUCUCUGUCUCUGGUUUAAAGAAAACCUAAAUGGUCAGGUCCACCCAGGCUGUAUCUUAAUAUGUUAGUGGGAGCUUGAGAAUUCAAGCUGCAUACUAAAAAAAUCCUAUUUUGGAUGUCAACAGCUGAACAUUGACACUUUCUUUUUUGCCUGCUGCUAUAACUAUCCUAAACUUCCUUGAGGCAAAUAGAUGCUUCUGGCAGAGUAAGGAGGAGGUUAAAUAUAUAUAAAGACAUGCAAAAGAGGAAAGUACAUUAUAUUUUAAAAAGUAUUACCCUAGUUAAAACAAUAAUUUGGGGGAAGAAAGGUUUAGAAAUGAAGCUCCUGAGAUUGCCUUCAUUGAGAUUCCAUGUAUAUACAUGUAUGUGCUUAUGCGCGUGUAAACAUGCAAGGGUAUGAUAUUAUUGAUUUUUCCAGAAAGGAUUUAGUGAGCCCUUGUUACAGAUCAUGGACUCAGGGGCAUAUGUCACAGUGUCUGUCUUCAGGGAGCUCCUGGUCUUAGGAGAACGAUGGAGUGGAAGUGGAUUACAUUAUGGAGCUGCAUUGCUGCUUUCUGAGAGGUUGGUGUUUGGUCUGAUAAACAUGACUAAUGGUUUGGUCUGGUUUCUCCUUACCUUUCUAGGUAACUCCGUAGUGGUGGCAUUGUUUGCUUGCUGUUGUUUUUAUCCAAAAUUCUUUCACCUCUUUUGAUGCAGGAAAACUUUUGUGUUUUAUACACUGUUCUUACUCCAGGGCCAUGGGAGUUCAAACAGCACUAGGAGCUUUGAGCAGUAUUUCUAUUUUGACCAGGGAAACUGGGAACUUUGUCCCCUGUGAAGGGGGCAGAAACUGGUAGACUGACAAGUCAAGCUGUGAGGGGCAAGUACAAAGCAAAAGUAACACAACAGGUAAGUGAUGGAGUCAGAUGCUUGGGUUCAUGUGGAAAGUGCCAUGGGCUAGGUUUCGGAACACUGUUGUUACUGCUAAGCUUAGGCAAGUCUCUCCCUCUCUGAGGCUUAAGAGGGUGUCGAGUUAGAAGGUCUCUAACACGUCUUCCAUCUAUAAUAUUAUGAGCUGAAUGGGUAGCAGUGAGGGACAGGGAAGCCCAGGGGCAUAGGAACCAGGUGGUAAGUGGUUUCAGGACCUUUAUGCCUGGUUCUCUGGAGACUUUACCUUUUUGAGGUCUUUCAUCUCUGCAGCUCAAGACUGCUUGGUCAGUUCCCCUGAUGCCAGAACUCAGAAGUGACCCAGCAUCCUUAUAUGGUGAACAGGAGCACUAAUCCCCUUGGGUAGAAUCAUCCUGAUGGUCAGCAAAUGAGUGGCCUCAAACUAUUUUGGUUCUUAAAAUCUUUUCAAAGAAGAAUCAUGUUUCUGGGAUUUCUGGGCCUGUGUUAAAAAGGCUACACUUCCUCAGCCUUUUCUUUUGGAUUCCAAGUCUGUGUGCCUAAACACCCUAGAUAAUACCUUCAUUAGGGACUGCCUUUCUUCUGGCUCUUCCAAGGUACAGUGAGGACUAACUUAUUGAUCUUCCUGUUAGCCCAUGUCCUUGAACUUUUCUUCUUUUGUGUCAGAUGGAGAAAAUGGUAAAAAGCAAUCCAGAAUCUUCUUUUCUUAGGGCAUGUGCAAUCCUAGCCCAACUCCAGCAUCUCAAAAAGAGAAAUAGGGCAAGCUGCCAUCUUGGCUUUCCUUCACAUUUCCUUCCACACAGAACUCUCCUUUCUUCCACAUUUUCUAGAGCUUUAGAGAAUUUACAUUUUGAUGGAGAGAAACAUACUAGAUUUCUAAAAAGUACACUAAAGCCUUCUAGGUAUAAGACUAUACUAGUGGAUAAUGGGGACAUAAACGAGGAAUUAAGUGUAUUUUGGUGGAUAUGGUGAUUAUCAUAGAGUAGGAGUUGAUUGAGUGGCGUUUGGAAGAGGGGUUCAUUAUCCACAGUGACAAAUGGGAAGGGACAUUCCUAGCAGAGGAAGAAAGGUGAGCAAAUGCAGAGAGUUGGGUAAACAUCAUGGAGAAUUAGAGGAUUGUAGGGAGAGAGGGACUGGAGAGGCAUGUGAGGUCUUGGAUUUUCUCAGGAGUUGAUUUUAUAUUCUAGGAUUUUGAUUCAAUUUUUAAAGAUAUGGGCUCUCACUGUAUCACACAGGCUGGAGUACAGUGGCACAAUCAUAGCUCACUGCAGCCUUGACCUCCUGGGCUCAAGCGAUCCUCACACCUCAGCCUCCUGAGUAGCUGGGACUCCAGGCAUAUGCCUGAUUCUGGAUUUGGGUUUUAUCUUAUAAGCACCAGGGAGUUAUAAAGGAUUUUAAGAAUUGAAGUGAUGGAAUUAAAAAAUCUAAUUUAGAGGGUUAAUAUAGCAUUGGAAGGACAAAAUUGGAGAUAGGAAUUCUAGUUAGGAAACUACUGAAAUAUAGUUGAUGAUACAAGAAAUUUAAUGGUAGGGGCAUCUGCAGGAUUUACUGUCUAGUUGAUGUCAGGACUGAAGGAGAGGUGAAGUCUCAGAUAAUCUCCAGGUUUUGGCUUAGAUUACGGGUGAAGUCUCAUACAAUCUUCAGGUUUUGGGUUGUGGGUAAAGGCUGAUGGACCAAGCCUGACAUCAUAGGAAUCACAUAGGAAUAUAGGAACACUUGACACGCUGCUAUAGCUUCUACUGUAAAAGGGUUUAGCACUGCUCCAUUCUUCAAACUCUUUACAUAUUUUGAAUGCAAAACAUCAAAAAGAAAACUCAGAGUGACUGAUGAUUGGACAAUUAUAUACUCAGACAACUUUUCCCACAAGUUGGGCAAGUCUGCAUGCUUACGUAUGCUUAUAUGUGCUGUGUGCAUGCACAUGAUGUUGCUCAUGCUUUGGAUAUGAAUGUGUAUGCUCGUUUGAUUGUGUUGGGUUCUUGACACAAUGUCAUUUUUCAGCAUUAAAAUUCUCAUCACCUAGCAGAAAUGUUCUCUUUAAGAUCCAUUUCCGGCCAGGCGCGGUGGCUCACGCCUGUAAUCCCAGCACUUUGGGAGGCCGAGGCGGGUGGAUCACAAGGUCAAGAGAUCGAGACCAUCCUGGUCAACAUGGUGAAAUCCCAUCUCUACUAAAAAUACAAAAAAUUAGCUGGGCACGGUGGCACAUGCCUGUAAUCCCAGCUACUCAGGAGGCUGAGGCUGGAGAAUUGCCUGAGCCCAGGAGGCGGAGGUUGCGGUGAGCUGAGAUUGUGCCAUUGCACUCCAGCCUGGGUAACAAGAGCAAAACUCUGUCUCAAAAAAAAAAAAAAAAAAAAAAGAUCCAUUUCCACUUGGCUUGUUGUGCAUAAAUAUUCAAGUGGGAUUGAUUGCUUGUGUCAAAUUAAUUUUUUUCCCUUCCCAGGGACAGUGUCUGCAGUGUGCAAAAUGGGGAAAUCCUCAGAUUUCUAGCCAAAUACAAAGCUCAGAUAUAGGAGUAAAGUCAGGCUUGGGUCAAGAAUUGUCCUAGAUAAGCCAUAGAGACUGCACCUAGAUACUUAAGCUAACCUUCCCAAUAUGCUUUGUGACUGUUUCCUAGGCAACAGGAAAACCCUAGGCUAGGUAGAGAUGGCUGCAUAUGAGAGGCUUGGGUCUUUUCAGCAUGAGCUGCAGUACCAUACCCUCCUCUGUAUCUUCCUUUUGCUGCUUUGUUUAAAAGGCUGAAGUGGCUGGGUGUGGUGGCUCAUACCUAUAAUCCCAGUACUUGGGGAGGCCAAGGUGGGAGGAUGGCUUGAGCCCUGGGCAACAUAGCAAGAUCCCAUCACUUAAAAAUAAAUAAAAUAAAAUGUUGUAGAAGCCUCUGGAGGCACAUGGAGAACAUGCUAAAUAUCCUCCUUCCCUACCUGACUGCUAUGCAAACUUCACAGAACUCUGGGGUAAUUUUUCCUUCGGUUCCAGUCCUGACACUUCCCUGAAGCUAGGGUGGAACCUCAGGAUGUACCUGUAAGGCCUUUCCCUAACAGGUGGCCCCUAUUUUCAUGGUGCUCAGUUAGCCAGCCUUACCACAUUUUGCCCGACUCCAGACACCAGACAAGGGACCUUCAAACUGUCUUUCCUAAACUGGAAACUUUGGCCAACUGACCUAUACAACAGGGUAGUCAAGACUCUAUUGUCCACAGAUGAACUAAUUUGUAUCUCAGCAGUAGGAGCUUUGUGAGUUGUAUGAUACAGUUUUGCUGAGGAUUAUUAUAUAUUCUUUUCCUGUAACCUGGAUUUCUGGAAGUCCUGAUUUACAUUUAUUAACUUUAACUGUGUGGGUUGCGAUUAUCAGUGGUUCCAACCAAAGGAUCUCUAGGAGUUUAUCAUCUAUAUAAUCUAGCUGAAUACAGUUUUUUAAUUAGUAGAAGUUAUGGCAAAUAGCUUACUCAGCCAUUAACCAUCAGGACCCUUGAACUUUAAGAAGAAAGUGGGUGAAUUCCUCAUCUCAGAGAGUAGAAUGGUAAACUUCUGGGGGAAGGGGCUUUGGAUUCCAUUUGCCAAAAACUUUUACAUAUAUCGAUAACAGAAAUGAUUUUUAGCAUUUGCCAACAGAUUUUGUAAUGUAUCACUUCUAGCAGAGGGCAUGCAUAGGACUUGGUUAUACAAUUUAAUUUUUUGUUAUUUCAUAGAAUCUGAUGGUAAUGUCUGGAUUUUGCGCUGGGACAACUGAGUGUUGGAAGAGUGCAGGGUUCACAGAAGUCUGCCAACAGUUAGCGAGAAUGUUUCCUCUUCCCUGCUCCUGAUGCCACCAGAUACACCUCUUGAAUCCAAAAGGAGGUCAUCUAAUUUCUUCUCUCUACCCUGGCCUAGUUUCUAAGCUCUGACAGCUAUUCGCUCUAUUCUAUCUAGUUUGUUUUGAAGUAUUUAUUCAACUUGUUAUGCAUAGAAGUCAUUCUCCGAGACAUAUUUUUAGACCACCUUAAUUACUCUAUGUAGCAUGAUUCUAGGCAUUGAAUAGGCCUGUUUGUGAUUUCCCCCCUUAGACUUUUUUUUUCUUAUGAGAAAGACGAAGGCAGCUCUCCAGUGGAGGUCCUCUCUGACAGACUCAUGGGUUGAGUGUGUGAUCACAUGUUACUUUAGGUUUCCUGGAGGCCAUAGAGCAAUGGAACUUCAGAUUUGAUGAGAUCUGACUAUAGAGGUGGCACUCUAAAAUCCCAUCCUUAAUCUCUUUAAUACAGAGGAGGAGGGCAAUCUCUUUCAAGCACUCUAGUAGGUGCCGUUUUUUCCUCAUGCCAAGUCUUUUUCAUUCUUAUGCAGUGGUUCUGCACCCAGACACACGCCUUAUUCAUUCACUCCUUCCAGGACCCCCAGCACUGAAGCUUUGUUCUCUUUUCCAUUUCUGGGUUGUUGGAUUUAAUGUGACCUUUGCGUAUGUCAGCUUGAAUGGUGACAGCCUUCUGAAUUCCUGGGGAGCCUUUGUGCAGAUUAAGAACAAAGGAGGCAGUUUAUCUCUUCAAGUGUCAGGACUUUUAAUCCUUUGUACUUUAACCUCCCUUUCAGGGUUUAACUUUUUGCCAGCCCCUUGCCUUGCAGGUCUUGUGUAUGCUGUAGGUGAGGGGGCAUUUUGCAAGCGUCGCUCAGGUUUUGAAAGGAAAUUUGUGUUUAUCUUCUUUUGAGGGGAGAGGAAUCCCCCAAAAUUUGAUCACUGGAAGUCUUUCUUUGGAUGUCAGUGGAGACCCCAAGUCAUCUGGCUGCCUUGUGCAGUUCUAUGUCUGUAGCAUGGUGUAAAGGGGUAUGUCCCCAGCCUGAAGAGGGGAUUCCUGUAUGCUGCUCUCAGCUAUUAUGCUCUGGUUUCCUCUGUGAUUCUGGGCAGGCCACUGUACCUCUCUGGGCCUGAGUUUCUUCACUGUAAAGUGAAAGUGCUGAAAUGGAUUAUCACUGAUGUUCCUUUAAUCUCUUGAGAGUCUAUGGGGUCUCUGAUAAUUUAGCUUAUCUCAACUCUGGGAAAAUGCAUCCGAUAAUGAUUAUCUUAUGCCUGGGGGUCCUCGUUCUUAGAAAUGACACACAAAAUGUAUAAUAACCUGCCACUGGCUGGUGUCUGUCUCUAGCCGUUAGAAAUCCAGCCACAGCAAACCUCCAGUCUUGCCAGUCUAGAUGAGCUGUACAAGCUAACUUCUGAGCCAGUUACAGUAUCCUUAGUUUAUAUUUUUAUAGGAGCCACCAAAUAUUUAUGGGCUUCCCAGGAAAGUUCAGUCAAUAAUGUUAGCAUAGCUAUAAUCUAUAUGUAACAACUACUCCUUAACAUGAUUUGUUUUCUCUCUUGGUCUGUAAGAGGAUUUUUUGAAAGGAGAAAAGUUUUGUUUGAAUUUUCUCAGAAACUCCAAGUUCUUUAAAUUGGAUAUUUGGCAAAUCUUUUUCCCCAGAGUUAUCCAUAAUGGCUGGCCCUGCCAGAUCUUUUUCCUCUCUCUUAGAAGGAGUUUUAACUGCCAUUGAUUUAUCCCUUACCACAUUUGGCUUUGUGAAGAGCUGGUGGGGAAGAUGAUCCUCAGACUGCUUCUUCCUCUGGAGAUUAAGCCUUCAGACCGGGUCCUGUUGUUUUUCUUAGUGCUUCCCACCACACCACCCCCUCUUUUGCCACUCUGUCUUCAGGUAUGAGGACAGUUUUCUGGAAGCUGGGCAGAGAGUGAGGAACUGGGAUUGAGGGAACAGAAGCAAGUUUUAAAGGUCAAGACAUUCUUAUAGUUUAUAGAAUGAUCAAGUAUGAGAACCAGAGGGGAAAACCUGGCCAGAAUCAGGCCAGCAAUAGGCCAGGAGUCAGGAAAAUAGAUAAAGGCCAAGAAGAUGAAAUGGUGAAAGGUCAAUCAUGGAUGGGAGUAUACGAUGCAUUCAGCAUCCAGGGCAUUUGCAGAAGCAGGAGCCAGAGGAGAGAGGGGAAGGAGAUGUGAGUUUAGCUGCAGCAGUCCUUAUUGAUUGAGGAGUCUCCUUGCUUUGGCCCUGCCAGCACUUGUAUGGGUGCCAACUCUCAAGCAGAAGGAGCCUGGGCCUGGGUGGUGGAGUCCAGUGAAAGAACCUAGCCAAGGCACAGUUCUUGAUGUCAUAAGCUGCUGCCUCCUUACUUCUCUCUGGAACAAGCCAUCCUGUGAGGCUUCAUCAUUUCUGCUGCUCAAGGACCCUCUGUCCUUUCAAUUCAGUGAGUCUGCAUGUGUCCAGGUUUAUUCCCUAGGCCUGGGGUUUCAACUUGACGGGUCAGCCUAUCUGAUACAUUAAGAAAGUGAGACAGGGCAUCUGUAUUAGUUCCUUUUCAUGUGGCUGAUAAAGACAUACCCAAGACUGGGUAAUUUACAAAAGAGGCUUAUAAUGAAUUUACAGUUCCACAUGGCUGGGAAGCCUCACAAUUAUGGUGGAAGGCAAGGAGGAGCAAGUUAUGUCUUACAGGGAUGGCAAAAGGCAGAGAGAGCUUGUGCAAACUCCCAUUUUUAAAAUCAUCAGAGCUUGUGAGACUCAUUCACCAUCACCAGAACAGCCCAGGAAAGACCUACCCCCAUAAAUCAGUCACCUCCCACUGGGUUCCUCCCACAGUAGGUGGGAGUUACAAUUCAAGAUGAGAUUUGGGUGGCGACACAGCCAAACUGUUUUAGCAUCCAAAUUCCCCACAGAAUAUUAUCCUUUAGCCUGGUGGUCUUUAGAUGUAUAAUUUCCCCUCUUCAGUUCAUAAUAACAGAGCUGCCCAUAUAUCUUUCUCUGUGUCUUUGGUGAUGCCCUAUAUUUGUGUUCUCGAGUCCUUGGGAUGAGUUAACUCAUUUUGUUGGGUGGACCAAAGAGUCCUUCUGGCCACAAGUAAAACAGAUUGUAAACUAAAGAUGUCUAUUUACCUUUGUGCUUUUAUUCAGUAACCAAGAGGGGCCCUUCCUGCUUUUUGAUCCAGUUCUCUUCCAAUUACCUUUUUCCUCCUUCUCAAGCUUGAAAGUUUUGGAUCUAUGUAUCUCCUGUGGUACCUGAGAGCACCAGCCUUAUCUGUGGCUUGGCUCAGCAUGGCAGACUUCAGCCUUGACCUGCAAUUGGAUUUUUCUGGGAAUUCCUUACUAGAAUUGAUCCAGCCCAAUUAAAUCAGUAAGCUUCCCUCUAGUAUCUGUCUUCUCACCCUUCACUCAUAGAUUUGACAUCUGUCUUAAUGUUUUCCAAAUUGGAUCAGUCAUCUUCCAGGCUGAAGAUGAAAGAGUCUAGAUUUAUUUGAUAUAUUCCUAUGUAUUUAAAAAACUAUAUUAUUUCCAUAUUGUAAACAUUCAAGUUAAAGUUUGAAUCUUAAUAGUAGCUUCUUUAAACAUAAUUGUGAGAAAUGUCACUCUGUGUUGAUUGUUGAUUUAUACUUGGCUGGGACUAGCUCUGAUUCCAUUGGUUAUGUGUUCCUUGUAAUCCUCUUCCUUGUCCCUUCCUUCCUGAGACUCUCAUUAUAGAAGAAAAAAAGGAAUUAUAUAGUGUGAAGAUCCUUAAACUUUUUCAGUUCACAGUACCUUGACAUCUCAGUAAGUUUUCUGUGGCACCCUUAGGUAAAACAGAAUACUUAGAUUUGUUGAUUAAGUAUUAGAUCCAAACAACAAGUACUAAUGGUCUAACAAUCUAACAGGCAUUUGAAAAAAUGAUGCAUAUAAAUUAAAAGUAUUUUUCUUCUUUUCUUAUUUACUUUUUGACAAAUAAUUCUAUAUAUUUGUAGUGUAUAACAUAAUGUUUUGAAAUUGUGGGAUGGCUAAAUUAUGCUGAUUGACAUAUGCACUACCUCAAAUAUAUUUUUUUUUUGUGAUAGGAACACUUAAAAUCUACCCUCUUAGCAAUUUUCAAGUAUACAGUACACUGUUAUUAAUUAUAAUGACCAUGUUAUACAAUAUAUUUCUUGAAUGUAUUCCUCCUGGCUAACUUAAAUUUUGUAGUCUUUGUCCAGCAUUUCCUCCUCAGUCUCCCCAAGAAAAGUACUUUUAUUUCAUUUUUAACAAACCAUAGUUACUUAUCAAUGAGAUGUGUGUGCCUGUUGGGCACUGCACAGCUUCUCAGAGGCUGGACUCAGAUUGCAUAUUGCUUCCUUUACUUCCUGUUCUCCAUUGAUUUUUGUGCUGUGCUUGCUUUUUAUCAUAGAAAUUGCUCCAAAUCCAGUUUUGCAAAGAUAAGACAUUGAAAGGUAUGGAGUGUGAUUUAAGGUUGAAAUUGAGAACUACUUUGUGCUAGUAGCUUAUGCAAUAUCUGACAGAUGCCAAGCAUUUGAUGGGUUUCCCUCAAAAAUUUAAAAAUUCACAGAGCCACUAUGAAUUUUCUAUGGUGGCCCAGGGUGUCUUGGUGCAUAGUUUGGGAACCAUGGGGAUAGUGGAAUAAAUCUUUUCUGGGAGAAAUUUUGGUGCUUUUUAUCCCCACUCAGCCUGGUUGCCAUUGUGUAGGUUGCCAGGCUUCUCCUGAGAAUCUCUUAGCUUCCAAGUGGCUUUGAUUCUCAAGGGACUCUUUCUCUCCAUUCCCUAUUGGCUUUGGUGACCAUUUUUGAGGCUGACUGGUAUUUAUUAGAGUCUAUAUCAGGGAGUCCUUUCUGAGAAAGGGUUAGGUCUUGGUCCACCAAACAUAAGAUGAAGGGGAGGUGAAAGCAGCACCAGGUAGAGCAUUUAGGGUGCGGGCCAGAUGCUCAUAGUCAGCAUCAGCUCUAUACUUUGCUGGGCCCAGGUCAAAUGGAAAUGUGAAGCUUCUUGUUCAAAAAUGGCAAAAAAAAAAAAAAAAAAAAAAAAGUACUAUUGUAGGUGUUAAUAUAUAAAAUGCUUUCCUUUCUUUUACUGUCUCUUUCUUGACCUGUCACUGUGUGUUAUAUUUGCUAUUUGAUGUUGUGCUCCCUUAGCGCACAAGCUACUUAGGAGCCAGUGCAAACCUCACAGGUGUUUGGCUCUCUUCUUACUUUGUGAUUUGGUGCACAUGACCUACUGGCUGCUGGGUUCCCGCUUCCCCCAGUGGCAGGACUGAGCCCUAGCCAGAAGCAGAGAAAUUGUUCCAGCUGUCUCUCUUUCAUGGGCCUGCUGCUUCAACCCAGAGUGGACAGCCUCCAAGGAUAUUGCAAGCACAGGGAAGUGCUAGGCACCUGGAUUGUGGGUGGGCAGGAGGCUUGCUGCUGAGUUGCUGAGCAUGCUGUGAUGGUGCUGCCAGUUCAAGGGAGGGAUGGCUGACACCAUGACUUGCCUGGAGACAUUGUGGGGUAUGUGCACCUGACCUCCACCUUCCCUCUGCUAGGUGGAAGGGGUGGGAAGCUAGGCAAGGCCCGGGGCCUCAGUGAUUGGGGAAAUGGUUAGCCAAGAGCCUGUCCUUAGCAGGUGGCUGGAGGUGGACUCUCAAUAAGCCUAGGUCCCAACUCCCAGCACAUGUUCCUUUAUUCUAUCAGACUUCACUUACAAAACAUAGAUUCAAAAAUUAAAUUAUUAAGAAAUUUGAGACAGUGACCAUAGGGCCUUAAAUCCCAAACACAGGGCCUUCUGAAGACCCUGUGCAACUACACAAUUAUGACACUGCCCCUGGGGAGGGAGGCAAAUACAGGGGAGAAUUCUACCUUGUGACUGAUCAGACUGAGCUCCCUGUUGCUGAAUUAACUAAACUGUGGUUCAUUGCUGCACUCAGAUCUCUGGUAGUGUUUAGAGCCAGUUUGUACUGAAUGCCCACCAUGUGUCAGGCUUCAUGCUGAAUGCUUUUUUCUGUAGUAACUCAUUUAAUUUUCAUAAUAACUCCAUUUUACAGAUAAGAAAACUGAGGUUAAAUGACUCGCUCCUAAUCCCACAGCAUGUAAGUGACAGAGCCAAGUUUUGAAGCCAGGCAAUACGGCACCACAGCCUACUUCCUUGCCAGUUCACCAUUCUUUUUCUGGGUAUCAUCCAGCUUUUCUUCAUAACAAUGGCACUAAGUACCUCUUUAUUUCCUAGUUCCAAAUAAAACCCUCUUGUUUGGUUCCACAUGUAUUUCCAGACAAGGAUAUUUAUUUUUAAUUUGAAAGCUUUCUUCAAAAUGAAAUAAUCUAAUUUUCUAAAUAUGUUUUCAAGAACAGUAUGUUGCUAUAUCUUUUUAAAUCCCCAGUUUUCAUCAGGCCAUGACACUUUUCAACAUGAUUGUUACAGUAACAGUCAGGGGCUGAGGUUUGAGUACCUUUGUUUUAGGUGCCAUCUCUGCUGACUGUCAACAGGUGAUUGGGGGCCUGAGGGGCAGCACUGUAGCGAGUCCACUCACUCCACGUGGUACAGCUGAGGACACCAGGAGCAGAGCACAUUCUAUGGCACAAGUGCUUGUUGUAAAAAAGUAGACUAUUUAUUUAGAACAACGGAAGAGCAGUUAUUUUACUUUCUAAGACUUGCUGCUCAAAGGGUGGAUGGUGGUGACCUGGCGGCAAGGGCAUCACCUGGGAGCCUGUUAGAAAUGCAGGAUCUCAGGCCCCUCCUUGCUGAAUUGGAAUCUGCUAUUAAAAAAAGCCUCAGGCAGUUCAUUUGCACAUUUGUAAAAAGCUGUUUUAAGCCUUUGAGUGUGUAUUUUCGUGAUUAUUUCCUUUACUACUUCAAUGGAAGGACAGCCUUUGUCACUGAGGAUAAACAUUCUGCUUUGGGCUUGUGUGGCCUUCUGUAGGCACCUGAGCUCCUUUGAGCUUCAGUUUUUUUCUGUUAAAUGAAGACAUUGGAUCAGAUAAACUCUGUGGUCUAUCUUGGUUCUAUGGUUUUAGUAAAAAUCCCUAAGCAACAGAGCUUUGUAACAGUUUAUUGCUUCUAUUUAAAGCCAUCUUUGGGCAUUUACACAUUUUUAGCCUGUCUGCUUUAUCCUAUAUCCAACUGCUAAAAUCCAGUCUCCCAGAAUGUGACCUACAGCUGCCUGCAUCAGACUCACUCAGGGCCAUUGUGAAAUGCAGAUUCCUGGGCCAUAGCUUUAGCCUUCUUGAAUCAGAGUCUCUGGGGACAGGUCCUAGAAAUCCACAUCUUUAACCUCUGCAUUAGAGUGCUGGUAUUAACAGUUUCUUGCUACUUUCUAAAUACAAAGGUCACUAGGGGUUUUCUUCUCUCAUCACUUUCUCUUGUUUUUUAAAGUCAUGUACUUCCUUGGUGCCUUAGAAAAAUGGAGGUCCAAUGGAAGAAAGGAGAAUGCUGGGAAAGGAAGCUAGUUUGGAGAGGGGAGACGUUGAAUUUGUGGUGACAGCUGGUGAUUUGAAUGAGAUUGUCUAGAAAACAUACCAGGCUAUGGUACUGAAGUAUACCAUAUAGAACCGGGGAGCUAUGGGUUUGGGGGUGCCCUGAUGUAGGACUGGGAACCUGGUCACCUUGGAGCACUGAGGUAUGUAAAGGAUAAAGAAUGAAAUACAUUUAAGUGUAAGAAGACGUGUCUGAAAACGGCAGCAGAGUCUUUUGGGCAGUGGGAGGAGAGAGCUAGCUGCACAGAGAACCUAAGUGUUCAGCUUUGAGGACUGCUCAGAGUUAGACGGUGAGAGGAAGAGAGGAGUUAGUGAGCCCUCCCAGGAGAGCUUGGAGAGGCAGAGGAGAGCUACGACAGCCAGAGGUGAGAACAGCAUGGAGGAGAGAAGAGCAUGGAGGUGGUCAUUCAGUCAAACACUAGAGGCCAGUCUGUCUCCAGAAGGACUUGUGUACUUGGAAUGAGGGUUCAGUGUCUUUAAUCAUAUCGUGGCAGUCAGAUUAUAUGUGAUUUAAGAGGGCAACAGGAAGGGAGCAGAGGAGGGGAGGGCCUGUGAUUGUGGUGACAUACUACUCACACUUAUGCAGAAUAGGGGAAACACUGGGUCAUUUCGAGGGGCGUGGUCUCCUCGGCGGAGGGAUGGGUAUUCACCUUUGGCGCCUGUACAGUGCUUACAAGGUAGUGCCUGUGAUGUUGCCAGCUCGGGAAGGAAGUAAUGUGGGUACAAUGGGGGAAGAUGGUUGGUAAAGACACAAACAUUCUUGGCCAGUUGGCAAACAUUAGGAGCAGCAAGCUGGAGGCAAACAGAUACCAGUGUUUAGCAAGAUGUUAGGACAUUUUGGAAGCAAGAAAGCCCUUCUUUUCAGCCCACUUCCAGGAGGGAUUGGUAAUUUUCUUCCUCACUUGAACUUUGUCAGCUACUUAACAUAAUUCAGACAUACUGUACUCUAUUUGGCAGAUGGUCAACUUCUCUGGGGAGUUGAGAUCACGGGCACCAUCAGGUCAAUUCAACAAGCAUGUCUUGAGGGUGUUCCACAUGUAAAGCACUGACUUUGGUUAGCAGACAUCAAAAAAGGCUGGGCCAGCCCUAUUGGUGACGUGGUUCUGAAUGUGUGUUGCUUUCCAGUUAGUUCAGUUAUCAAGUGAGCUACUGAGAAGCAAUCAGGAAAUUUUGUUGUAAGUGAAGAAAAAUACACACUUUAGUGCCACUAGCAAGACAGAGAAGGUGAUUUUAGGGAACUGUUAGAAUUCAGUUAAUUUUGAUCAACAUUUGUCAAAUGAUUGAGGUUUGAUAUGCCCCAUGUUAAGAAUUUAGGCUACAGAGAUAAAUAAGAUGGCUUUGGCCUCAAGGAGUUCAGAGGCUGGCAGGGGAGACAACCAAGACAUAAUUACAGCUUAUCCUACACAUCCUGCAAUAGGGUCACCUCUGGAUGCUAAGGAAGUAUAAACCAGAAGGACUGGGCUCAGGAGGUGAUUCUGAUUAAGCCUUAAAGAACAAGUAGGAGUUUCAACUGCUGAGAGACUUGGAAAAAAAAAAAAAGUAAACGAGAGGAUGUGAUUCCUCUCUGGCAGCCAUUUAGAGGCAGGACAUGUGGUUGUGGUUUGUGGAGGUCUGCUAGGGAACUUUCAGGACUUUUAGCUGCUGAAGAGCAGGCAGGGUAGCAGUGAAUGACCUCUUCUCUGUACUGUUCUUUCACAUCUCUCCUCCUUGUUUCUCUUUACUCAAAGAAGAAACAGUAAGAAAAGCAAUAAUAAUUAAGGCCCAUUCCCCUUGCUGACCUCCCGCCACACACACUGCCCACCCAGGGCUGAGGAGGAAAUCCAAAGGUGCCCAAAGACACCAUCUGGCCAUUGUAUGAACAGAUUAUCUGGGCACUGAAGAAGAUAAUGUGGUAUGUCUGUUAGGACAGUUUUUUUUUUUUUUCUGAGACAGACACUCGCUCUGUUGCCAAGCAAUUCUCCUGCCUAAGCCUCCCGAGUAGCUGAGACUAUAGGCACGUGCCACCACACCUGGCUAAUUUUUGUAUUUUUAGUAGAGAUGGGGUUUCACCAUGUUGGCCAGGAUGGUCUCCAUCUCUUGACCUCAUGAUUCGCCCAGCUUGGCCUCCCAAAGUGUUGGGAUUAUAGGCAUGAGCCAUUCAUUGUGCUCGGCCAGGACAGCCUUUUGGUUUGGGGUUGAGAAUCUCAAAGGUGGCUGUCUGCAUCUGGAAUGGCCCAGUCUUGCUUUUCUUUCUGACUUGAUACUCCUUGAGCUACACAAACAUUGUUUCUGGAACAAGAGUAUUCAGACAAAGACAAGGACAAUGUGUUGACCCCUCAAGACUCUCUCCCCAGAAAGAACCCCUCAUCCUUGUCUUUGGGAGCUUGCCCACCUUCCCCCCUUCCCUGAGUAGCUGACAGUGGACAUGCGCAGUGCUGUUUCCUGUGUGUGUUGUGUGUCUCACGUGGUCUUGGUUACAGUGGGGCAGGAGCUACAUUGGGAAGGUGUGUCUUUUCCAUUCAGGAAAGACUGCUUUGUAUUAAGUUUAUACCAGAAUUGAGUGGAAGGAGUUCUGGAGUAAGAGAGGUUUCUUAUUUUCAAAGACGAUGAAGGAAAAGCAUAGCAAGGAAUAUAGAGCAUUGUGAUGACAGGGCUGGGUGCUGGUGUGGCUUUAGCAGCAGCAUAUGAGCUAACACCGCAACAAUUUCAGGAAGAUGAGCCCAGUCCUGUGUAAGGAGGAGGUGUAAAUUCAGAAGGGUUACAUAUUUUGGGUUGACGUUCAGGAAAUUUGAAUUUAGGAUGGUUAUUAGAUGAUACUAUGAAUUAUUAUUAAUUUUGUGAAGUGUGGUAAUGGUAUUGUAGCCGAGUGCCCUCAUAUUUAAGAAAUUCAUAUUGUAGUAUUUAUAGGUGAAAUGUUAGGAUGUCUGUAACUCAUUUCAAAAUGAUUUAGCAAAAAUGAUGAAACAAAUAUGGCAAUAAGCUAAUAAUUGUUAAAUCUAGGUUACGAUGACUAGUUAUGCUAUUCUUUCUACUUUUCCACAUGACUAAAACAUUCCUUAGUUUAAAAAAAAAAAAAAAAAAAAAAAGAGUACAGGCUCUGAAGCCAGACUGCAUGGGCCCAAAUCCUGGUAUGUGGUUUUAACCUGUGUGCCAUUUUCUCCUCUUUAAAAUAAGAUGAGAUAAUAAAAGUUCCUACUGCAUAGGGUUGUGUGAAGAUGGAAUUGUAUAACACAUGGAAUGCUUAGAUCAGUAUCUAGUCCAUAAAUUAUCACCAACUGUUUUAUUAUUAUGAAAAACCAUCUUGGCCUUGGAGAUCAGAAAACUGAAACAGGAGAUGGUGCGGACAGAUGUCAGCCUGGAAAAUGGCCUGGAACCCGCUGAAGCUCGCAGCAUGGUUAGACACAAGGAUGAUGGCUAUUCUGAGGAAGAGGACAUGAAGGCCUGUGCCCGGGACUCAGGCUAUGACAGCCUCUCCAACAGGCUCAGCAUCUUGGACCGGCUCCUCCACACUCACCCCAUAUGGCUGCAGCUGAGUCUGAGUGAGGAGGAGGCAGCAGAGGUCCUGCAGGCCCAGCCUCUGGGGAUCUUCCUGGUUCAUAAGUCUACAAAAAUGCAGAAGAAAGUCCUCUCUCUACGCCCACCCUGUGAAUUUGGGGCCCCACUCAAGGAAUUUGCCAUAAAGAAAAGCACAUACACGUUUUCCCUGGAAGGCUCAGGAAUCGGUUUUGCAGAUUUAUUCCGGCUCAUUGCUUUCUACUGCAUCAGCAGGGAUGUUCUGCCGUUUACCUUGAAGUUGCCUUAUGCCAUUUCAACAGCCAAGUCGGAGGCUCAGCUUUAAGAACUGGCCCAGAUGGGACUAAAUUUCUGGAGCUCCCCAGCUGACAGCAAGCCCCCGAACCCUCCAACUCCCCACAGGCCCUUCUCCCCUGACGGCGUCUGUCCUGCCUCCCUGCGUCAGCUCUACCUUAUAAAUGGAGUGCAUUCUAUCAAAACCAGGACGCCUUCGGAGCUGGACUGCAGCCAGACCAACGGGGCCCUGUGCUUUAUUAAUCCCCUUUUCUUGAAAGUGCACAGCCAGGACCUCAGCGGAGGCCUGAAGCGGCCGGAGCACAAGGACUCCCAACGCGAAUGGCACGGAGCGGCCUCUGUCCCCUCCAACCCAGGCCCCCGCCACCCGCUAUUAAUAGUCUGCACACAAGCCCUCAGCUGGCCAGGACCAAAACCCAGACGAGCAUGCCAGAAACAGUCAACCAUAACAAACAUAGGAACAUAGCUCUGCCUGGUACGAAACCAACUCCCAUCCCUCCACCCCUGCUGAAGAAGCAGGCUUUUUUUCUGGAAGCAGAGGGUGGCGCAAAGACCUCGAGCGGCAGCGGCCGGCAGGGCGCAGGCCUGGAGCUGGAGCUGGGUGCAGCUGGCCGCCCAGGUGGGACCCCUCCUGAGGCCUCCCCAGGCGAUUGCACAAGCGCCCCGCUGCCCAGCUCUGAAUCACGGCCCCCGUGCCAUGGAGGCCGGCAGCGGCUGAGCGACAUGAGCAUUUCCACUUCCUCCUCCAACUCGCUGGAGUUCUACCGGAGCAUGCCUCUGUUCGGCUAGGCUAUGAGGCGGACACCAACAGCAGCGUGGAGGACUACGAGGGGGCGAGUGACCAGGAGACCAUGGCGCCCCCUAUCAAGUCCAAAAAGAAAAGGAGCAGCUCCUUCGUGCUGCCCAAGCUCGUCAAGUCCCAGCUGCAGAAGGUGAGCGGGGUGUUCAGCUCCUUCAUGACCCCGGAGAAGCAGAUGGUCCGCAGGAUCGCUGAGCUGUCCCGGGACAAAUGAACCUACUUCGGGUGCCUGGUGCAGGACUACGUGAGCUUCCUGCAGGAGAACAAGGAAAACCACGUGUCCAGCACCGACAUGCUGCAGACCAUCCGGCAGUUCAUGACCCAGGUUAAGAACUAUUUGUCUCAGAGUGCGGAGUUGGAAGACCAAAUAGAUGUGGUGCUGGAGAAAGCCAUCCAUGCACAAGUGCAUCUUGAAACCCCUGAAGGGACACGUGGAGGCCAUGCUGAAGGACUUUCACAUGGCCGACGGCUCGUGGAAGCAACUCAAGGAGAACCUACAGCUUGUGCGGCAGAGGAAUCCGCAGGAGCUGGGGGUCUUCGCCCCGACCACUGAUUUUGUGGAUGUGGAGAAAAUCAAAGUCAAGUUCAUGACCACACAUAUGUAGUCCCCAGAAAAGAAAGUCAUGCCGCUGCUGCGGGUCUGCAAGCUCAUUUACACCGUCAUGGAGAACAACUCAGGGAGGAUGUAUGGUGCUGAUGACUUCUUGCCAGUCCUGACCUAUGUCAUAGCUCAGUGUGACAUGCUUGAAUUGGACACUGAAAUUGAGUACAUGAUGGAGCUCCUAGACCCAUCGCUGUUACAUGGAGAAGGAUGCUAUUACUUGACAAGCGCAUACGGAGCACUUUCUCUGAUAAAGAACUUCCAAGAAGAACAAGUAGCAUGACUGCUCAGCUCAGAGACCAGAGACACCCUGAGGCAGUGGCACAAACAGAGAACCACCAACUGGACCAUCCCUUCUGUGGACGACUUCCAGAAUUACCUCUGAGUUGCAUUCCAGGAGGUCAAUAGUGGCUGCACAGGAAAGAUUCUCCUCGUGAAAUCUUACAUCACCACCGAGGAUGUGUGUCAGCUCUACGCUGAGAAGUUCAAGGUGGGGGACCCUGAGGAGUACAGCCUCUUUCUCUUUAUUGACGAGGCAUGGCAGCAGCUGGCAGAGGACACUUACCCUUAAAAAAUCAAGAGCUAUGCAGCCGACUUCAGCCCCACAUCUUCCACUUUGUCUACAAAUGCACCAAGGAUGAUCCUUACGGCGUCAUUUUCCAGAACAGGGAAGAAGACCUCACCACCUCCUAGAAGACAGGUGGGACUUCCUAGUGGUGCAACCAAAGGGGAGCUGGAAGCCUUGCCUUCCGGCUUCUAUGUGCUUGAGCUUGAAGAGCAGUCACCUCCUUGGGGGCCCCUCAGUUUAGUGACUAAGCCAUCCACAGGCCAACUGGGCCAAGGGCAACUUUAGCCAUGCAAAGUAGCUGAGGUUCGUGAAACAGUAGGAGUCUCUUUUGGCAAUGGAGAAUUGCAUUUGAUGGUUCAAGUGUCCUGAGAUUGUUUGCUGCCUACCCCUAGUCAGGUUCUAGGUUGGCUUACAUGUAUGUAGAUGUGCAGAAGAAACACUUAAGGCACAAGCUCUUUUGAAUUCAACAGCAGAUGUUUGACAAGACUGUCCGAUGCAGUGCGUCAGGUAAUUCUCACUCCUGUGGAUGGCUUCAUCCCUUCCUUUCUUCCUUCCUUUCUUUUUCCUUUUGUUUUUUUUUACGAAUAGCCUUCAUGUUUUUAUAUAUUUCAUAGAAAUUUUUAUAGCGGUUGCAAGUAAACUGUCAGGAUUGGUUUUUAAAAUAUUUUUGUAACUUUAAAAUGUUCUAUAAUUAUGCAUGUGAUUUUAACAUUUAAUAUUCAAAAAUAAAUCUCUUGCUGGAUUUGAGAGUAUUGCAUUUUAAAAGUCUCUCUUCUGUAACUGGAUGUUUUGGCAACUUUGUGGGGAGAGACAGCUGGAUUUCUUAAAGCCAUGUAUUCCUGACACUGGCCACAGAAUGCCUUUGGAAAUCGGAUGUACUGUUAUCUUGGUCACGUUUAGUGGUGUUUUGCUCUUUUGUUUUUUAAACAAAUGAUAUUGAGAAUAAGGAGAGAAACGAAUGUAGAGAGAGCUAGAGAGAGAAAUACGGACUCUAACAAAGGACUGAGGAGUGCAGUCUGCUGGUUCAGGCUCUUCGAAAGAUAUGGAAAAAGAGAACGAACUACCUAUAUUUAAAAUACUGUAAAUAUGCAAUGAGGUUUGGCAAAAUCUACUCCAUGUGUGAUUUGCUUUUAGAAACAAUUUUGAAAGCCCCCUGAGGAAAAUAAAAAUCGGGACUCCAUGUUUGGAUCCCCUUCCAUGAACACUCCCUUAGUUGAAGCUGUUUUUCUCUAUUGUGGAUUUUCCUUCUGGGGUCCCCUUCCACACUCUCUCGUGGAAGCCUGUCUUCCCUUCCUAAACUCUAUCUCUCUCUAUUCCCUUCCACUCAAUGUGGAGCUGCUUUCCUCUCCUGGAUUGCAUCUUUCUGGAUUCUCUCACUCAGUGUGAUAGUUGUUUCUUUCUCUCUCCUUCUCCUGUUUCUCUCUCUUUAAAUAAAUCACUUCCUACAAACAAACAAACAAAAAAAUAAAGAAGAAUGCCUUUUCUCCCCUUUCCAUAGAAAUUAAAACUAACAGCAUCAAGCUAUUGGGACCUGAAACCAAAUAAUGUAUAAUGUGGCUUUUGUGGAGUUAAAUAAGAUGCUGUACAAUGGAGAAAAAAUUGGAAAUACACACAAAAAAACUACAUUAUCAGAAUCUACAGUGAAAUUAAACUUACGGGGGCUGGGCGCAGUGACUCACGCCUAUAAUCCCAGCACUUUGGGAGGCCGAGGUGGGUGGAUCACGAGGUCAAGAGAUGGAGACCAUCCUGGUCAACAAGGUGAAACCCCGUCUCUACUAAAAUACAAAAAAUUAGCUGGGCAUGGUCGUGCGCACCUGUAGUCCCAGCUACUCGGGAGGCUGAGGCAGGAGAAUUGCUUGAACCCAGGAGGCGGAGGUUGCGGUGAGCUGAGAUAGUGCCUUUGCACUCCAGUCUGGGUAACGACAGCGAAACUCCAUCUCAAAAAAAAAAAAAAAAAAGAAAUUAAACUUACGUUAAAUAAAACCAGUUUGCAGGUGCACAAACGAUGAGGGUCUUGUAUCCAUGUAACACAGGUAGUUACAAAAACACAAUAUUGUACUGUGUAAAGAUGCAUAGUCAUCUAAUUUGGUUGGCUUUGAACCUUGUACCUUUUUCAGCCUUGGCUUUUGUUGAACUAGAACCCUCAGCAUAUACUGUGUUGUACUUUCUUUUGUAAAUGAUUUUUUAAAUGGAAUUUUGCACAUAAUACAUUGUAAUACUGUAUGAUAAUCAUGUGUGAAAAUAAUUUUUGAAAUGUCAAA